CGGAGUGCCCAGGCCGGAGAGCAGGGACCGCACGAGCCCCUGGGUUUGGCCGAUCCCUCCAAGUCUCCAGAGCUAGCCCGGAGCUUCCCGGAGGCUCCCCGAAUGCUGCGUCCGGGCUAAGCAGGCUGUUUGGGAUAGGGCUCCCCCCUGCCUCAGGCCGUUGAACUCUGCAACGCCUGGUCGCCUAACCGCUGGACUCGGCUUGGAAGGGACAGGCUAGGAUUCCAAGGCGACGGAGUCUCCCCUCCUAAGGACAGCAGGUGUUCCCAGGAAAUAAGACCUACUUCGCAGCAACAACUACAAACCACUGAUGGAAAACACGGGAUGGAUACAUUCUACCCGAGGAAGACCCAACAAUGCAUAGUCCUUAUUGUCAAAAUCACUGACUUGACGCUGCUCUGAAAUCCCAGGAGGGGAAAAUGAAUCUGCUUCCCAGAGAGAAUCCUGCCAUCACCACGAGAACAAGCCCACUGGAG
Molecule: long non-coding RNA, 476 nt
Organism: Eptesicus fuscus (big brown bat)
Lineage: Eukaryota; Metazoa; Chordata; Mammalia; Chiroptera; Vespertilionidae
Exons: 4
Source: RefSeq, a predicted model, not a curated record